CCUACGGGGGGCAGCAGUGGGGGAUAUUGCACAAUGGGGGAAACCCUGAUGCAGCGACGCCGCGUGUGGGAAGACGGUCCUCUGGAUUGUAAACCACUGUCCCCAGGGACGAAGAUGACGGUACCUGGGGAGGAAGCUCCGGCUAACUACGUGCCAGCAGCCGCGGUAAUACGUAGGGAGCGAGCGUUGUCCGGAAUUACUGGGUGUAAGGGGAGCGUAGGCGGGACUGCAAGUUGGGUGUCAAAUCUACCGGCUCAACCGGUAGCCGCACUCAAAACUGCAGUUCUUGAGUGAAGUAGAGGCAGGCGGAAUUCCUAGUGUAGCGGUGAAAUGCGUAGAUAUUAGGAGGAACACCAGUGGCGAAGGCGGCCUGCUGGGCUUUUACUGACGCUGAGGCUCGAAAGUGUGGGGAGCAAACAGGAUUAGAUACCCUAGUAGUC
Molecule: ribosomal RNA, 440 nt
Filed under: uncultured bacterium
Lineage: Bacteria
Description: partial 16S ribosomal RNA
Rfam family: Bacterial small subunit ribosomal RNA
Source: RNAcentral